Quercus robur (English oak) is the source of this 624-nucleotide long non-coding RNA. RefSeq lists it as uncharacterized. Lineage: Eukaryota; Viridiplantae; Streptophyta; Magnoliopsida; Fagales; Fagaceae. The record is from RefSeq and is a predicted model, not a curated record. The transcript is spliced from 2 exons.
AUUAAACUUCUUCCUCAAACGUAAUAAGGUCCCAAAGCUUUUUACCCUCCAUUUGGUGACAGUAAAAGUUGAAGAAUGAGGUUUCUAGCACUUGCUUUAGUCUUGAUGAUGGUGAGCUCUUGUUUGGCUACAAAUCGGAAAACUAUGAUGGUUGAAAUGCAUGAACAAGAGCAGCGGCAGCUAACCGAGGACAGGAGCAACCCAAACGAUAACAGUGAUCACCACUCCUGUCCUAGAAAAGAUUUCCCAUGUGGACCUGCUGGGGCUAAAUCAAUGCCUCAGGGCACUUAGCCAAAUGAAGCUUGUGAUGUAGGGCUUAUAAGUUAAUAUAUUAUAUAAACUUGACCAAGCAAAAAAUAGUAAAAUAAAGCUUUCGUCUAAUGGUUUGAGUACUGGACUGGCCAUAUAGGCUCGAAUCAUGCCCCGUGUUUUCUUCAAUACUUCUAUGCACUGAAAAUAAGCUAAACCCGGAAUAGCAUAGAUGACAUAAGUUUGUGCUUGUGGUUUGGGUUGUCUACAUAUUGUAUUUCUGCAACAUAUGACUACUAUGUAAAUCAACUACGUUAUGUGAUAAAAACUAUAAACAAUCAUAAGUUUGGAGUAUGUUUAAUUAUUGCUUGGUUA